This 805-nucleotide ribosomal RNA is filed under the name uncultured bacterium. RNAcentral describes it as "bacterial SSU rRNA". It matches the Rfam family "Bacterial small subunit ribosomal RNA", at positions 57 to 854 of the family's 1533-position model. The record is from RNAcentral.
GCAGUCGAGGGGAACGAUAUUGGAAGCUUGCUUCCGAUAGGCGUCGACCGGCGCUCGGGUGAGUAACGCGUAUCCAACCUGCCCACCACUUGGGGAUAACCUUGCGAAAGUAAGACUAAUACCCAAUGAUAUCUCUAGAAGACAUCUGAAAGAGAUUAAAGAUUUAUCGGUGAUGGAUGGGGAUGCGUCUGAUUAGCUUGUUGGCGGGGUAACGGCCCACCAAGGCAACGAUCAGUAGGGGUUCUGAGAGGAAGGUCCCCCACAUUGGAACUGAGACACGGUCCAAACUCCUACGGGAGGCAGCAGUGAGGAAUAUUGGUCAAUGGACGAGAGUCUGAACCAGCCAAGUAGCGUGCAGGAAGACGGCCCUAUGGGUUGUAAACUGCUUUUAUAAGGGAAUAAAGUUAGUCUCGUGAGACUUUUUGCAUGUACCUUAUGAAUAAGGACCGGCUAAUUCCGUGCCAGCAGCCGCGGUAAUACGGAAGGUCCGGGCGUUAUCCGGAUUUAUUGGGUUUAAAGGGAGCGUAGGCCGGAGAUUAAGCGUGUUGUGAAAUGUAGACGCUCAACGUCUGCACUGCAGCGCGAACUGGUUUCCUUGAGUACGCACAAAGUGGGCGGAAUUCGUGGUGUAGCGGUGAAAUGCUUAGAUAUCACGAAGAACUCCGAUUGCGAAGGCAGCUCACUGGAGCGCAACUGACGCUGAAGCUCGAAAGUGCGGGUAUCGAACAGGAUUAGAUACCCUGGUAGUCCGCACGGUAAACGAUGGAUGCCCGCUGUUGGUCUGAAUAGGUCAGCGGCCAAGCGA